This 1411-nucleotide long non-coding RNA is filed under the name Gallus gallus (chicken). RNAcentral's name for it is "lncRNA (ENSGALG00010006534.1)". The record is from RNAcentral. Lineage: Eukaryota; Metazoa; Chordata; Aves; Galliformes; Phasianidae.
GUGCUUCACAUGACAUGCCUUAAAGUCCUGUCUGUGCUAGCAUCUAGACCGGAGACCUAGCUGAAGCAUUCAGGCAUGUCUGCCUUGGAAACACAGGCAUCAAAGCGACAGGAAGAGGAAGCGCCUGGUUCUUACCCUGAUACGGAGUCAGGAUACAGUUAUAGUGUGCAACUGGUCCCGGCAAGAGAAACUGCUGUCUCUUUACAUUUGCUUCUCCUGGAAAAGAGGUUGCACUCAGUGGCUAAAUCUGUCCUCUCAAGGGAGCACACAUUACUACUGCAGCAGCAGAGGUGGAGGCAGCCCAGACCCAGAGUCACCUGCGUGCUCAAGCGAUGGCCAACGUACAGGAGGAUGGCGAUCAUCUGAGAGUCUACAGGCACUUGUGACAAACUAAUUUAUUCCACAUCAACAGGACUGAAGCCAAUUGAACAAAGAACCUCAGUAACAGCCUGACUUGACCAAACCUUGUCAAGAAGCAUUGAAUCUUGGGCACAAUGACAUUCUGCCUUGGAUACUGUAUAGCUGCGUGUUUGUGGAUUUCAAAAGUCAUAUGCAUCAGGGAAGUAAACUCUAAAAACUUCAGUCUUGCAAAAUUCAGGAGUUCUUAUACUGCAGACUACAGAUCAUGUAUCUUCUAAAGCCACUGUUUAACCGUUUUUAAGAUUCUCAUCAACUUUCAAAGCCUUUUGUUAGGAAGCUCUUCAGCUGACAGUAUCGUGGCUUCUGAAGGCAUCUCUCUGAAACACUGUCUGCAACAAGAACGAGAGAUGUCAGCAAAGGAAGCAGAGGGCUGGAUGUGGAACUAACUCCCUUUUGAAAGCACCAGAAUAGUUACAGAUCCUCCUGCUAUGAGACCACUUUUUGUCCAACAGACACAAGAGAAGUACAAUACUAUAAAUAUGAUAGACAAAUUCAGUGCUAACAGUAAGAUAUAAAUGUAGGGAAAAAAAAAGAUGUACCUUUGUGCAUAACUGCUGAAGUAUAUUAGAUACCAUGGAGGCCAGUUGGAUAUAGCUGCCUUAAGAGAGACCAUGGAUUAAGUUUUACCUGACAGUUUUAGAGCAGUGAAGAGAAAGAAGCUUUAAAACAGGACACGCACACCUCAGAAAAGAUUGUCAGAGCCAACAGUGAAAAAUGAGUGUAUGCAGAAAGCUUGGUUAAACUGAGCUUGCUACGAACUUUUUCAGACAACAAUGCCUCGCUUCUCCAGAAGCAUCUGCAGUAUUGCCAUCGUUACUACUGGUUACCAAUUGCCCAGGACUUUGUUAGUAGAAAAAGGAAUUAUUUUUACUCAGAACACUUUAUUCUUAUUGAGCGUCAAUAACUGAAGUGUUGCUGGGAGGGUCUCAUUGUCACCUGACUGUGCCUUUUCACAACCAGUGAGAUUACCAUCAGAAAUAAAGCUGCUCAG